AGAGCGAACGCUGGCGGCAGGCCUAACACAUGCAAGUCGAGCGCCCGUAGCAAUACGGGAGCGGCAGACGGGAUAGUAACACGUGGGAACGCGCCCUUCGGUUCGGAAUAACUCAGGGAAACUUGAGCUAAUACCGGAUACGCCCUUACGGGGAAAGAUUUAUCGCUCUAGGAGGGGCCCGCGUCGGAUUAGCUAGUUGGUGAGGUAACGGCCCACCAAGGCUAUGAUCCGUAGCUGGUCUGAGAGGAUGAUCAGCCACACUGGGACUGAGACACGGCCCAGACUCCUACGGGAGGCAGCAGUGGGGAAUAUUGGACAAUGGGCGCAAGCCUGAUCCAGCAAUGCCGCGUGAGUGAUGAAGGCCUUAGGGUUGUAAAGCUCUUUCACACGCGACGAUGAUGACGGUAGCGUGAGAAGAGCCCGGCUAACUUCGUGCCAGCAGCCGC
This 446-nucleotide ribosomal RNA is filed under the name uncultured bacterium. RNAcentral's name for it is "SSU rRNA". It matches the Rfam family "Bacterial small subunit ribosomal RNA", at positions 26 to 518 of the family's 1533-position model. The record is from RNAcentral.